Molecule: ribosomal RNA, 478 nt
Filed under: uncultured bacterium
Lineage: Bacteria
Description: partial 16S ribosomal RNA
Rfam family: Bacterial small subunit ribosomal RNA
Source: RNAcentral
GACGAACGCUGGCGGCGUGCUUAACACAUGCAAGUCGAACGGUAAGGCCCUUCGGGGUACACGAGUGGCGAACGGGUGAGUAACACGUGGGUGAUCUGCCCUGCACUUCGGGAUAAGCCUGGGAAACUGGGUCUAAUACCGGAUAGGACCACUGCCUGCAUGGGUGGGGGUGGGAAGCUUUUGCGGUGUGGGAUGGGCCCGCGGCCUAUCAGCUUGUUGGUGGGGUGAUGGCCUACCAAGGCGACGACGGGUAGCCGGCCUGAGAGGGUGACCGGCCACACUGGGACUGAGAUACGGCCCAGACUCCUACGGGAGGCAGCAGUGGGGAAUAUUGCACAAUGGGCGCAAGCCUGAUGCAGCGACGCCGCGUGAGGGAUGACGGCCUUCGGGUUGUAAACCUCUUUCAGCACCGACGAAGCGCAAGUGACGGUAGGUGCAGAAGAAGGACCGGCCAACUACGUGCCAGCAGCCGCGGUAA